Molecule: ribosomal RNA, 465 nt
Filed under: Vreelandella stevensii
Lineage: Bacteria; Pseudomonadati; Pseudomonadota; Gammaproteobacteria; Oceanospirillales; Halomonadaceae
Description: partial 16S ribosomal RNA
Rfam family: Bacterial small subunit ribosomal RNA
Source: RNAcentral
CCUACGGGUGGCAGCAGUGGGGAAUAUUGGACAAUGGGGGGAACCCUGAUCCAGCCAUGCCGCGUGUGUGAAGAAGGCCCUCGGGUUGUAAAGCACUUUCAGUGAGGAAGAACGCCUGGUGGUUAAUACCCAUCAGGAAAGACAUCACUCACAGAAGAAGCACCGGCUAACUCCGUGCCAGCAGCCGCGGUAAUACGGAGGGUGCGAGCGUUAAUCGGAAUUACUGGGCGUAAAGCGCGCGUAGGUGGCUUGAUAAGCCGGUUGUGAAAGCCCCGGGCUCAACCUGGGAACGGCAUCCGGAACUGUCAAGCUAGAGUGCAGGAGAGGAAGGUAGAAUUCCCGGUGUAGCGGUGAAAUGCGUAGAGCUCGGGAGGAAUACCAGUGGCGAAGGCGGCCUUCUGGACUGACACUGACACUGAGGUGCGAAAGCGUGGGUAGCAAACAGGAUUAGAUACCCUGGUAGUC